GAAACUGCGAAUGGCUCAUUAUAUAAGUUAUCGUUUAUUUGAUAGUGCCUUACUACUUGGAUAACCGUGGUAAUUCUAGAGCUAAUACAUGCUAAAAACCCCGACUUCGGAAGGGGUGUAUUUAUUAGAUACAAAACCAAUGCCCUUCGGGGCUCCUUGGUGAUUCAUGAUAACUAUACGAAUCGCACGGCCUUGCGCCGGCGAUGGUUCAUUCAAAUUUCUUCCCUAUCAACUUUCGAUGUUUGGGUAUUGGCCAAACAUGGUUGCAACGGGUAACGGAGGGUUAGGGCUCGACCCCGGAGAAGGAGCCUGAGAAACGGCUACUACAUCCAAGGAAGGCAGCAGGCGCGCAAAUUACCCAAUCCCGACUCGGGGAGGUAGUGACAAUAAAUACUGAUACAGGGCCCUUUCGGGCCUUGUAAUUGGAAUGAGUACAAUUUAAAUCCCUUAACGAGGAACAAUUGGAGGGCAGGUCUGGUGCCAGCAGCCGCGGUAAUUCCAGCUCCAAUAGCGUAUAUUAAAGUUGUUGUGGUUAAAAAGCUCGUAGUUGAACCUUGGGCCUGGCUGGCUGGUCCGCCUCAC
RNAcentral lists this ribosomal RNA (582 nucleotides) under uncultured fungus. RNAcentral describes it as "SSU rRNA". It matches the Rfam family "Eukaryotic small subunit ribosomal RNA", at positions 83 to 668 of the family's 1831-position model. The record is from RNAcentral. Lineage: Eukaryota; Fungi.